AUUGAACGCUGGCGGCAGGCCUAACACAUGCAAGUCGAGCGGAUGAAGGGAGCUUGCUCCUGGAUUCAGCGGCGGACGGGUGAGUAAUGCCUAGGAAUCUGCCUGGUAGUGGGGGAUAACGUCCGGAAACGGGCGCUAAUACCGCAUACGUCCUGAGGGAGAAAGUGGGGGAUCUUCGGACCUCACGCUAUCAGAUGAGCCUAGGUCGGAUUAGCUAGUUGGUGGGGUAAAGGCCUACCAAGGCGACGAUCCGUAACUGGUCUGAGAGGAUGAUCAGUCACACUGGAACUGAGACACGGUCCAGACUCCUACGGGAGGCAGCAGUGGGGAAUAUUGGACAAUGGGCGAAAGCCUGAUCUAGCCAUGCCGCGUGUGUGAAGAAGGUCUUCGGAUUGUAAAGCACUUUAAGUUGGGAGGAAGGGCAGUGAGUUAAUACCUUGCUGUUUUGACGUUACCAACAGAAUAAGCACCGGCUAACUUCGUG
This 484-nucleotide ribosomal RNA is filed under the name uncultured bacterium. RNAcentral describes it as "partial 16S ribosomal RNA". It matches the Rfam family "Bacterial small subunit ribosomal RNA", at positions 30 to 507 of the family's 1533-position model. The record is from RNAcentral.